UUGACCUCAAAUCAGGUAGGACUACCCGCUGAACUUAAGCAUAUCAAUAAGCGGAGGAAAAGAAACUAACAAGGAUUCCCCUAGUAACUGCGAGUGAAGCGGGAAAAGCUCAAAUUUAAAAUCUGGCGGUCUUGCGGCCGUCCGAGUUGUAAUCUGGAGAAGCGUUUAUCCGCGUCGGACCGUGUACGAGUCUUCUGGAAGGGAGCGUCGUAGAGGGUGAGAAUCCCGUCUUUGACACGGACAACCGGU
This 249-nucleotide ribosomal RNA is filed under the name uncultured Piloderma. Its description in RNAcentral is "partial 28S ribosomal RNA". It matches the Rfam family "Eukaryotic large subunit ribosomal RNA", at positions 1 to 240 of the family's 3401-position model. The record is from RNAcentral. Lineage: Eukaryota; Fungi; Basidiomycota; Agaricomycetes; Atheliales; Atheliaceae.